This 330-nucleotide long non-coding RNA is filed under the name Salvia miltiorrhiza (redroot sage). RNAcentral's name for it is "long non-coding RNA (SMIL_LNC011814)". Lineage: Eukaryota; Viridiplantae; Streptophyta; Magnoliopsida; Lamiales; Lamiaceae. The record is from RNAcentral.
UUACUAAGAGCAUAGUUGCUUUCCAGGCAUGGUUGUUGCUUGGGCAUCAUUGUGAUCUUGUUUUUUGUGAAGGAAAAAAAUGCGUCUUAGGUUCCUUUGAGUUUGACUUUAAUGAUUCUAUUGAAGGUUUCUGAGCCUUUGCCUGACCUGGUGGUCAAUGGUGGGAGGGUGGACUAUGCCUGACCUGGUGGUCAAUGGUGAGAGGGUGGACUUGGUGGAAUUUCUUGCCGAUUGUUAGAAGCCUUUGGCGAUUUUCUAUGUUGUCUUUGCAUGUUUUUAUGGAAUUUGCCACAAUCAAACUGGUGUUUAGUUCGUCUUGAGGACCAAGUU